GAUGAACGCUGGCGGCGUGCCUAAUACAUGCAAGUCGAACGGACAGGCCCGGCGCUUGCGGGGUUCUCGAGUGGCGAAGGGGGGAGUAACACAUGUGUAUCCUGCCCUUGUCUGUGGGAGAACAUUUGGAAACUGGGGCUAAUAUCGGGUAGGAGAUCUUGAUGCAUGGGGGGCGAUGGAAAGUGUCGGCUGUUGGGGCUGGAAGAGCGGGUUAUCAGCUGGUUGGUGUGGUAGUGGCUGACCAGGGCUUUGAAGGGUAGCCGGCCUGGGAGGGUGAACGGCGACAAUGGGCCUGAGGGAGGGACCAGACUCCUACGUGAGGCAGCAGUGGGGAGUCUGACGCAAUGGGCGGAAGCCUGAUACAGAGGCGCUGCGUGCGUAAUGACGGCCUUCGGGGUGUAAACCGCUUUCGCCUGUGACGAAGCGUGAGUGACGGUAAUGGGUAAAGAAGCACCGGCUAACUACGUG
RNAcentral lists this ribosomal RNA (468 nucleotides) under uncultured bacterium. RNAcentral describes it as "partial 16S ribosomal RNA". It matches the Rfam family "Bacterial small subunit ribosomal RNA", at positions 28 to 507 of the family's 1533-position model. The record is from RNAcentral.